This 697-nucleotide ribosomal RNA is filed under the name uncultured bacterium. RNAcentral's name for it is "bacterial SSU rRNA". It matches the Rfam family "Bacterial small subunit ribosomal RNA", at positions 62 to 818 of the family's 1533-position model. The record is from RNAcentral.
UCGAGCGCGCCUUCGGGUGAGCGGCGGACGGGUGAGUAACGCGUGGGAACGUACCCUUCGGUUGAGGAUAGCCCCUGGAAACGGGGAGUAAUACUCGAUACGCCCUAUUGGGGAACGAAGGAUCGGCCCGCGUCUGAUUAGGUAGUUGGUGGGGUAACGGCCUACCAAGCCUACGAUCAGUAGCUGGUUUUAGAGGAUGAUCAGCCACACUGGGACUGAGACACGGCCCAGACUCCUACGGGAGGCAGCAGUGGGGAAUCUUAGACAAUGGGGGAAACCCUGAUCUAGCCAUGCCGCGUGUGUGAUGAAGGCCCUAGGGUCGUAAAGCACUUUCGCCAGGGAUGAUAAUGACAGUACCUGGUAAAGAAACCCCGGCUAACUCCGUGCCAGCAGCCGCGGUAAUACGGAGGGGGUUAGCGUUGUUCGGAAUUACUGGGCGUAAAGCGCACGUAGGCGGAUCGGAAAGUUGGGGGUGGAAUCCCGGGGCUCAACCCCGGAACUGCCUCCAAAACUCCCGGUCUUGAGUUCGAGAGAGGUGAGUGGAAUUCCGAGUGUAGAGGUGAAAUUCGUAGAUAUUCGGAGGAACACCAGUGGCGAAGGCGGCUCACUGGCUCGAUACUGACGCUGAGGUGCGAAAGUGUGGGGAGCAAACAGGAUUAGAUACCCUGGUAGUCCACACCGUAAACGAUGAAUGCCA